This 253-nucleotide ribosomal RNA is filed under the name uncultured bacterium. RNAcentral's name for it is "partial 16S ribosomal RNA". It matches the Rfam family "Bacterial small subunit ribosomal RNA", at positions 524 to 776 of the family's 1533-position model. The record is from RNAcentral.
UACGGGGGGGGCAAGCGUUGUUCGGAAUUACUGGGCGUAAAGGGCUUGUAGGUGGCCAACUAAGUCAGACGUGAAAUCCCUCGGCUUAACCGGGGAACUGCAUCUGAUACUGGAUGGCUUGAGAUUGGGAGAGGGAUGCGGAAUUCCAGGUGUAGCGGUGAAAUGCGUAGAUAUCUGGAGGAACACCGGUGGCGAAGGCGGCAUCCUGGACCAACACUGACGCUGAGGAGCGAAAGCCAGGGGAGCAAACGGG